UCCAAUCAAUGAGCCUCAAUGUAACAUCCCGGAAUCCACAAACACCCCGGAAUGCUACUGAACUACACUUCUGACAUCCAUAUAUAAAAUUUCGACAACAUCUCCUUUGCAAAAUAGCAUAAAGGAGGGGGCAACAGUGUAUAAACAUGUAUCAUGACAAAAAACAUACUAAGUAUUAUUAAACGGCUAGCAAAGGAAAGUUAAACAUACGACAUGAACUGAAUUAACCAAUGCGCAUGACUAGUAAAAAAACAAACAUCCUUUGACAUCAAGUUUCUAAUUAAAUCAUGGAUGCGCUUGGGCAGCCUUAAUAUGAGAGUGAAAGUGGACGUGCUGCUACUCCCCUCAUUCCCAACAUAUAUCAAGUACCUGCAUUGAGUAAUGCAAGAGUGAGAUGACACAUCUCAGCAAGUAAAAUAAUAACAAACUGUUUAACCGCAUAAGAACAUUGUUUUACCACCAUUUGAUUUCGCAACCUUCUUAUUAUGAAGGUGCAGCACGAAUACAACGUACAACACACCUAGCUACCACACCUCGCAGGUAGAAACCACAAUAGUAACAUAGUAAUGUCACACUUCAUAUAUACCUCAUGAGUGCAAAUGUCUGCAAAUGCAAGGAUGACUUCUGCCUUCAUACCUCUAAGGAUAUGAAGCCGCAUCGUACCCCUCCUCGGGCAACGUACGAUGCUAAAAGUGUACCGGUACGGUCGGACCAUAAGAUCACGACAUAACUUCAAAAUGCAAUAUGGAUUAUGCGAUGUGCAUGACAUGCCUACAACACUUCAUACAACAUGAUUCAAAAAGAUACUUCAACUUCAUCCAAGAUGGGAAUCAACCACAUAUAUCAUUCCCAAAUCAUGAUCAUCCUCAAUAUUAGACAAUUGAGAAUUAAUUCUUUCGAACAAAUAAACUUCAUCAUAGAAAAUACUUAUGCAUACUCAAUGACAAGGCAUAGGAUGCAAACCAAACGGUAGCAACCACCACUGUAUUUACUUGCCUUUACCGGAAGUUUGGGCAAAUCCCUAAGUACGAUCCGGAAGUCCACCACCUGUUUUUGACACACAACUUAGUGCACCAAUUUCACAUAACCAGACUCAUAAACGACGCCGCACCUACGCACAAACUCAAACCCCGCCCGCGGGUUACAUCUCUCCCCACACCCACCAAACUGCAGCGGCGCUGCUUAAUAAUUUCAUAACUUCAAAAUUAUGACAGCAUUGGUAACAAACAAAAACUUCAGAGGCAUCUACAUAAAAUUCCCCACAAGUUUUGUAUACAAUUUAUAAUUAAAUUCCAACAUCUAAUUAGCCCAAAACAGUUCAUAAGAUGAACCCUGUAAUCUGUUUUUUUCUCUUUUGGACAGCGACAUACCCGGAUUCAAACAGCUAUAUCUUUUAAAAUAUAAUUCCAAUUCAAGCGCAUAAGUACUCAUUGGAAAGAUAAGACAAAGCCAUACAUGAUUAUCAUACUGGUUAGCACUAAUUAACCACGAAAAAUUCCCAGAAAUUGCUAAUACUACUGCUGUUCACCCACCUGAAAAAUCUGUUUUUUUUUACAGCAACAUACCCGGAUUCAAACAGCGAUAUCUUUUAAAAUAUAAUUCCAAAUCAAGCACAUAAGUACUCAUUGGAAAGAUAAGACAAAGCCCUACAUGAUUAUAAUACUGGUUAAUACUAAUUACCCACGAAAAAUUCCCAGAAACUGCUAAUACUACUGCUGUUCACCCACCUGAAAAAUCUGUUUUUUUGGACAGCAACAUACCCGGAUUCAAACAACGAUAUCUCCUAAAUUAUAACUCCGAAUCGAGCGCAUAAGUACUCGUUGGAAAGGUAUGACAAAGCUCUAAAUGAUUCUCCCACUGAUUCCCACUAAUUACCCACGAAAAAUUCCCAGAAUCUGCUAGAACUACUGCUGUUCGCGCACCCACAAAAUUUCUGGACAGCACCUCUACCAAUUCGCAUACGUAAACAUCUAAUCGAUUGAAUUGCAGCACAAAUAAACAAGAGUUAAUCACAAAAUCACCUUGGGUUCCUCCUUUCCUCCUUCCUUCCUCCCACCAAUUCUCCAAUCGGAACUUGCACCCACACGAAGAAGAUCCGGCGAGGAAGGACAUCACUUGGAGAGGAGGAGAUGGGAGGGGGGUGGCGGCUAGGGUUGAGGGAAUGGGGGCUGCUGCACAAGAGAGAGGGAAUUAGGGGGAGGGGAUGGAGGCCAAAGGCUAGAGAGGGGGGGGCGGCUGCACAAGGGGAAGGGAAUUAGGGGAAGGGGCGGCUAGGGUUAGGGGGGUUAGUGGGCCGGAUCAAGAACCACGGCCCAACUCGCUCACGCGUCAACUCCCGACCCCGGCGCACAAGUCUAACCAAAAUUCUAUUGUUUUACUAGCGAAUGCUACCCAACAAUUCCAAACUCCAAAAGUGCACUACCCAAAGGAGAAGCAAAAAAACAAGAAAGAAUAAACUCCAACUUCUCUUCUUUGCAAACUGGGUAUCACACUCUACCCCCCUUAAAAAGAAUUCGACCUCGAAUUCUGACGCUUUUAUCGGAACGACAAAAGCAAGAUUAAUGAAUCAACAAAACUCACACAUAAUGAAAAGUUCGGGUACUUCUGCCACAUCAGCUCCUCAAGCUCCUAGGAUUCUAAGAUACGCAGCAGACGACACUCUAGAGUCUGGUCUUGCUACACAGGGAAUCGACUCUAGCUCGAUUUGAUGGUCUGGAUUCCUCAAAUACUUCCUCAACAUAAAGACAUGGAAUACAUGGUGUACUAUGAUUAUAGAUUCCGACAAUUGUAUGUACUAAGCCCAGCUGCCAACUCGGCUAAGAUAGUAGACAGUCCUAUAUACCUCGGACAAAGCUUUCCUGACACCAAAUCAACAUUGACAUAUGCAAGUACUUCAAGGAAUGUAUAUAUGAAUGCAAUGCAUAUAGUGUUCCUAUAGCCUAAACCAAACUUAGCCAAACAAGAGCAACUUCAAGAGAGCAACUUAAUGCUUGCAUAUUUCUGGACAGCAGCACAGUGGUUAAUUGUUUUGCUCAUAACUCACAAAAUAUGCAUCCAAAAUAGUAGACUAGGACUUUAUGGAAAUCUUAUAAAGUCCACUAUACCCUUGGUAUUAUCAUCACAACAAGAUUUGACACAUAGAAAGGUCAAACAAUGCUAAACGUAAAUUCUGUCCAGACUUGGACAGAAUUCAACUACUCAAUUCAAAAAAUCCCUAAUUGGAGUCUCAGUCAUCCAAUUCAGGUGCUCCUAGACUUUUUAGAAAUCUAAUAGAAUUGUCUAUAAUUCAUUUAUAACAUAUCAUGUUAAUUCAAUGCAUAUCAAGGUCAAAAAGACAUGAGAAAGGCUCUGCUGUCCAAAUUUGGACAGAUUCAAAGAUCACACUUAAAACAGCUGUAACUUAACUUAUAGAUCUCCAAAAAAGGUGAUCCAAAAUUUGUUGAAAAGAUUAAGAAAAGUACUACAACUUAUUUAUAAUUUAUAAGAACUUAUUCGAAGUUUAAAUUGGGCAAACGAGGUCAGUUUCGAAGUCUGUACAAAAUCUGGACAGAUUCCAAGACUGGACUUGAGAAAAUCAUAACUCCCAAACUACUAGACCUAUGGUCAUGAAAUUUUUACACAAAUAAGAUAAAGAAGUUGGCUACAACUUUUAUAUAUAACAUCUCUACAGAAAAGAUGGUUUACUUUAUUGAACUAGCUGCAUAACUAAAACUGGUCAUGCAGUCCCAACAACAAGCAAUAGAUUUUAUGAGGUUCAUUACUCUUCUAAGAUAAAGCGUUCAUCGUUCAUCGAAAGACUAAUAAUUUUAGGUUCUUCAUUACGAGACACUUAGAACAAAUAUAAGUAUAGAAGCAAUAUGAUAACUUUUUAAAUCAUUUAAGCCUAAUCUCACAUCAUGCAAACAAGAAUCAAUUUAAGCAUGUUAUGCCUGCCCACAUAUUUAUCCAAGCACAUUCUAUACACUAUAUCAUAACUCCCUACAGCUAACAAAAUUUUGCAAAUAUAAACUCAUUGAAAAGAUUAUAACAUUCCCUAAAACUUUUAUUAUAAUGAGUGUCUCGAAUUUGGUUUCCAAACCGAUAAAACAAUGCAACACUUUUGUUGCAAAACUGAUAGGAUUGAAACAAUGGACAACUAAAAUUCAAAAACCUAUAACUCCUGCUAUACUCAACUUAAACUACAACGAACACGCGUUGGAAAAGUUUUGAAAAUUGUCCACGACUUUUGCAAUAAAGUUGCACCCAAAUUUAUCUUUAUAGCCCUCAACUAUGCAUGACCUACAGCUAAACUCAGCCUGAGAUACUGCACAUUAGAGAUUCGACUUAUAAUCGGACAACCACCUCUACCAAUCUAUUUAACAGACAAUUACAAGUAAAUGCCCAUUUAAAAGGUACUGAGAAGAACUAAAAGUUUUGCUUAAAGAGAAUUCCCAACUUUGGGCUAUGAAACUAUCAAAACGUGGUCGAUUUAUUGGUGGUUAUAACGACAACUAAAGUUCAGACACAACGGUGCAACAACUUCAGAGCAACCUAACUCCAAUUAUAUGCAAUGAGAAUUACAAACCAAUACUCGUUGGAAAGACCAUAAAAUUGCUAAAACUUUCAUAAUCCAACAAAGACCAAAUUAUAUUGUCUUCAAUGUCUACUCUUCCGUUCAAAAUUAAAGACUCAUUCUGCCAGAGACACCAAUAAGGAUGUUUUAGGAAACCCAUAACUCUCAAAUGUUUGGACCAAACCGGGUGAUUAAGCAUCCUAUGGAAAGAUGAAAAAACAUACUACAAAACAUUCUAGACAAGUGAAGCCUGAUUCAGCAUCCAACUAAUUUAAAAUGCCUCCCAAAACCAAACAACACAUUAACAACAAUAAAAAAACAAUAUAAAAUGAAACCCAAGGCACUGGCAGGUGCAAUCAACACUAGGAUUUUCCACUACCAAAUUGGGAUGCAACUCCACAAAGUCUUUAAAUAAAACUCUACCAAAUAGGUUAGAACACUAAGCACAACAAUCAACAAAUUCAACAUCCUCGUUUGUUAACGCCACUAAGGUCAAACAUUCAUGUAUCGACAAUGUAUGGAACACCUGACAUACCCAUCUCAAGCACUAUAAAACAUGGUUGUUAUUACACUAGAAUCCAACUAAUAGAAAUCUCCAAAACUAUUUUGUUGACGUGAAGCAAAUGGUGCUCAUGACAUAUAACAUCUUUUUUUCUCCUCUCAAAAGAGAUAAAAUGUGCAACACUCAUAAAGCAAUGGAGGGAUAACAACAAGAAAAACUAAUGAUCUUCUUGAUACAGACUCAUGCAAAAGCUUCAUAAAUAUUACUUUCAACACUAAAAUAAUAACACGAUACUAUGCUCAACAGGAGUAAUUGGACUUCAAUAAGACAAUCCACCUAAUCAAACUACCUUGAUUAACCUCACAUACAACAAUACCUCCUAUUAUUGCACUUGAACAAUUUCUACCUCGUGAUGUCAUAGGAUGAAUUCAAAGUAGUAGACAUACAUGAUCUAUCAAACCAUCAUUCAUAUGAAAAAAAAAUCUCCAUCUGGUGCAACAACCACAUCAUUAUAGAGAUAGAUGACUAACAAACAUAAGCAACUUCCAGUUAAGCAUUGACUUUGUUUAAGAUAAAGCGGUCCAAAUAAUAAUUCAACAAGCAUGCGUAAAGAACAGAUCAAAAAAAUAAAACUACCAUAUAUCGUCGGCGAUUACAAAUAUAUAUAAAAUGGGUUGUCCAUAUCGUCCACAUGACUAGCCUCCAACAACUAAAAAAAUAUGCAUAACCUUUAUGGCUAUAGAAACAAACCAUGGAAGGAAAACAUGCAUGCCUCUUCAACUAUAAUAUAGACAUAAAAUCCACUUGAAAUCACCCUAUUUAUUGCUAAGGUUGCACACAAUAAGAAAACCUAUCAUGUAAACAUGGUUGAACUUAUCUAUCCACGUCAUCUUACAAAUUCACUUGAGUUCUACCAGUCUCAAGGUUUCAUAGACAUUACAAUGUUGCCUUUACUCUAUAGAGACAAACCAAUUUUAUACUAAGAUCAAGUUAGCAAGUAGCCACACUAGCCAAAAAAGUGAGGCGCAAAGCAUUGCACCCAUGGAAAUAUUACAUUGAUAAGUUGGGUUGUAACCCAACAGUCAAUCAAACUCAACAACACCAUAAAACUACAUUAUAUAGUGUUUUCACACUACACCAAGUCGGAUUAGACCCACUAUAGACAAGCUCAAUAAACAAUCGGUCCUACAAGUACUAGAACCCAAGAAUCCUUUUGGAAAAAAACAUCCACAGUCAAGCAUAUAGAAAUAUAUGAUAGUAAUAGCUCAGAGAUUUGAAAACAUUGCAUCAAAAAAAAACAUCAUGACAAUAUGUAUAUAAAACAAGUACAGUAGUAGCUUCACUUGCAUAAUAUCUUCAAUAACAACCACAUCAAGAAACCAAUAUUAAAUAGAAAUAACAUAUCAUAUCAAGCAUUACGUCAUUAAUGACGUACCCCAUCAAACCAUAAAGGAAUUUGGAGUAAGGAAGUUCUAGUCAUCUAUACAAUAAAAUACUAAUAUGAAAGAUAUACGAACCCAUACCCUUCCUAUAUGUGCAAGUGUGUCAAAUUUAUCUUCAAAUUGCGUAGAAUCUAAAGCCUAUCCUCUGAUACCAACUGUAACAUCCCGGAAUCCACAAACACCCCGGAAUGCUACUGAACUACACUUCUGACAUCCGUAUAUAAAAUUUCGACAACAUCUCCUUUGCAAAAUAGCAUAAAGGAGGGGGCAACAGUGUAUAAACAUGUAUCAUGACAAAAAACAUACUAAGUAUUAUUAAACGGCUAGCAAAGGAAAGUUAAACAUACGACAUGAACUGAAUUAACCAAUGCGCAUGACUAGUAAAAAAAACAAACAUCCUUUGACAUCAAGUUUCUAAUUAAAUCAUGGAUGCGCUUGGGCAGCCUUAAUAUGAGAGUGAAAGUGGACGUGCUGCUACUCCCCUCAUUCCCAACAUAUAUCAAGUACCUGCAUUGAGUAAUGCAAGAGUGAGAUGACACAUCUCAGCAAGUAAAAUAAUAACAAACUGUUUAACCGCAUAAGAACAUUGUUUUACCACCAUUUGAUUUCGCAACCUUCUUAUUAUGAAGGUGCAGCACGAAUACAACGUACAACACACCUAGCUACCACACCUCGCAGGUAGAAACCACAAUAGUAACAUAGUAAUGUCACACUUCAUAUAUACCUCAUGAGUGCAAAUGUCUGCAAAUGCAAGGAUGACUUCUGCCUUCAUACCUCUAAGGAUAUGAAGCCGCAUCGUACCCCUCCUCGGGCAACGUACGAUGCUAAAAGUGUACCGGUACGGUCGGACCAUAAGAUCACGACAUAACUUCAAAAUGCAAUAUGGAUUAUGCGAUGUGCAUGACAUGCCUACAACACUUCAUACAACAUGAUUCAAAAAGAUACUUCAACUUCAUCCAAGAUGGGAAUCAACCACAUAUAUCAUUCCCAAAUCAUGAUCAUCCUCAAUAUUAGACAAUUGAGAAUUAAUUCUUUCGAACAAAUAAACUUCAUCAUAGAAAAUACUUAUGCAUACUCAAUGACAAGGCAUAGGAUGCAAACCAAACGGUAGCAACCACCACUGUAUUUAGUUGCCUUUACCGGAAGUUUGGGCAAAUCCCUAAGUACGAUCCGGAAGUCCACCACCUGUUUUUGACACACAACUUAGUGCACCAAUUUCACAUAACCAGGCUCAUAAACGACGCCGCACCUACGCACAAACUCAAACCCCGCCCGCGGGUUACAUCUCUCCCCACACCCACCAAACUGCAGCGGCGCUGCUUAAUAAUUUCAUAACUUCAAAAUUAUGACAGCAUUGGUAACAAACAAAAACUUCAGAGGCAUCUACAUAAAAUUCCCCACAAGUUUUGUAUACAAUUUAUAAUUAAAUUCCAACAUCUAAUUAGCCCAAAACAGUUCAUAAGAUGAACCCUGUAAUCUGUUUUUUUCUCUUUUGGACAGCGACAUACCCGGAUUCAAACAGCUAUAUCUUUUAAAAUAUAAUUCCAAUUCAAGCGCAUAAGUACUCAUUGGAAAGAUAAGACAAAGCCAUACAUGAUUAUCAUACUGGUUAGCACUAAUUAACCACGAAAAAUUCCCAGAAAUUGCUAAUACUACUGCUGUUCACCCACCUGAAAAAUCUGUUUUUUUUACAGCAACAUACCCGGAUUCAAACAGCGAUAUCUUUUAAAAUAUAAUUCCAAAUCAAGCACAUAAGUACUCAUUGGAAAGAUAAGACAAAGCCCUACAUGAUUAUAAUACUGGUUAAUACUAAUUACCCACGAAAAAUUCCCAGAAACUGCUAAUACUACUGCUGUUCACCCACCUGAAAAAUCUGUUUUUUUGGACAGCAACAUACCCGGAUUCAAACAACGAUAUCUCCUAAAUUAUAACUCCGAAUCGAGCGCAUAAGUACUCGUUGGAAAGGUAUGACAAAGCUCUAAAUGAUUCUCCCACUGAUUCCCACUAAUUACCCACGAAAAAUUCCCAGAAUCUGCUAGAACUACUGCUGUUCGCGCACCCACAAAAUUUCUGGACAGCACCUCUACCAAUUCGCAUACGUAAACAUCUAAUCGAUUGAAUUGCAGCACAAAUAAACAAGAGUUAAUCACAAAAUCACCUUGGGUUCCUCCUUUCCUCCUUCCUUCCUCCCACCAAUUCUCCAAUCGGAACUUGCACCCACACGAAGAAGAUCCGGCGAGGAAGGACAUCACUUGGAGAGGAGGAGAUGGGAGGGGGGUGGCGGCUAGGGUUGAGGGAAUGGGGGCUGCUGCACAAGAGAGAGGGAAUUAGGGGGAGGGGAUGGAGGCCAAAGGCUAGAGAGGGG
RNAcentral lists this long non-coding RNA (8861 nucleotides) under Zea mays. RNAcentral describes it as "long non-coding RNA (ZMAY_LNC003016)". Lineage: Eukaryota; Viridiplantae; Streptophyta; Magnoliopsida; Poales; Poaceae. The record is from RNAcentral.